This 253-nucleotide ribosomal RNA is filed under the name uncultured bacterium. RNAcentral's name for it is "partial 16S ribosomal RNA". It matches the Rfam family "Bacterial small subunit ribosomal RNA", at positions 524 to 776 of the family's 1533-position model. The record is from RNAcentral.
UACGUAGGGUGCAAGCGUUGUCCGGAAUUAUUGGGCGUAAAGAGCUUGUAGGCGGUUUGUCGCGUCUGCUGUGAAAUUUCGGGGCUCAACCCCGAACUUGCAGUGGGUACGGGCAGACUAGAGUGUGGUAGGGGAGACUGGAAUUCCUGGUGUAGCGGUGAAAUGCGCAGAUAUCAGGAGGAACACCGGUGGCGAAGGCGGGUCACUGGCCCGGUACUGACGCUGAGGUGCGAAAGCGUGGGGAGCAAACAGG